GUAGGGAAUCUUCCGCAAUGGGCGAAAGCCUGACGGAGCAACGCCGCGUGAGUGAUGAAGGUUUUCGGAUCGUAAAGCUCUGUUGCCAGGGAAGAACGUCCUUAAGAGUAACUGCUUAAGGAGUGACGGUACCUGAGAAGAAAGCCCCGGCUAACUACGUGCCAGCAGCCGCGGUAAUACGUAGGGGGCAAGCGUUGUCCGGAAUUAUUGGGCGUAAAGCGCGCGCAGGCGGCUGUUUAAGUUUGGUGUUUAAUCCCGGGGCUCAACUCCGGGUCGCAUCGAAAACUGGACGGCUUGAGUGCAGAAGAGGAGAGUGGAAUUCCACGUGUAGCGGUGAAAUGCGUAGAGAUGUGGAGGAACACCAGUGGCGAAGGCGACUCUCUGGGCUGUAACUGACGCUGAGGCGCGAAAGCGUGGGGAGCAAACAGGAUUAGAUACCCGAGUAGUCC
RNAcentral lists this ribosomal RNA (449 nucleotides) under uncultured bacterium. Its description in RNAcentral is "bacterial SSU rRNA". It matches the Rfam family "Bacterial small subunit ribosomal RNA", at positions 354 to 796 of the family's 1533-position model. The record is from RNAcentral.